RNAcentral lists this long non-coding RNA (377 nucleotides) under Mytilus galloprovincialis (Mediterranean mussel). The record is from RNAcentral. Lineage: Eukaryota; Metazoa; Mollusca; Bivalvia; Mytilida; Mytilidae.
GUUUUUUUUGUGGUGUAUAUUACAAAAAAGGGGGAGGGGCUUUUAACACCAAAAUACCUUAACAAUCCUACAAUAUUUGUUUACAGAAUGAGAAUUGAAUUCCGAUCCGUUUGUACGGGGAACAUGUGGUUGCAACCCCCUCUUUAAUUGCCUGUUCGAUUUUUUUUUGCAGUGUCGAAAAGGGAGAUAGACGGCAGUUUUAUCAAGAAGUUAUGUACGUUCUGCUAUACAUUUGACAGUCAGUAAUUAUUAUGAAGUACACAUGUCGACCAGAGGCAUGGAACAGAGAGGAGAGGUUUUAAAGUACCAGAUGCUUAUCUGAGAUUCCAAUUUGAACUAAAGAAAGCAAUAAAUAAAGAUAUGUAGGAGAAAUAAUC